This 72-nucleotide transfer RNA is filed under the name Ictidomys tridecemlineatus (thirteen-lined ground squirrel). Its description in RNAcentral is "Spermophilus tridecemlineatus (thirteen-lined ground squirrel) tRNA". It matches the Rfam family "tRNA". From Rfam's summary of the family: Transfer RNA (tRNA) molecules are approximately 80 nucleotides in length. Their secondary structure includes four short double-helical elements and three loops (D, anti-codon, and T loops). Further hydrogen bonds mediate the characteristic L-shaped molecular structure. tRNAs have two regions of fundamental functional importance: the anti-codon, which is responsible for specific mRNA codon recognition, and the 3' end, to which the tRNAs corresponding amino acid is attached (by aminoacyl-tRNA synthetases). tRNAs cope with the degeneracy of the genetic code in two manners: having more than one tRNA (with a specific anti-codon) for a particular amino acid; and 'wobble' base-pairing, i.e. permitting non-standard base-pairing at the 3rd anti-codon position. The record is from Rfam by way of RNAcentral. Lineage: Eukaryota; Metazoa; Chordata; Mammalia; Rodentia; Sciuridae.
GGGGAUGUAGCUCAGUGGUAGAGUGUUCGCUUAGCAUGGGGGAUACUCUGGGUUCGAUUCCUAGAACUUCCA